GGCAGUGUGGUGCAGUGGUUAGGGUGUCAGACUUCUAGGACCUGGGAGACCAGGGUUCAAACCCCACCCCUCAGCCA
Non-coding RNA from Podarcis lilfordi (Lilford's wall lizard), 77 nucleotides. NCBI's taxonomy places the organism in Eukaryota, Metazoa, Chordata, Lepidosauria, Squamata, Lacertidae. The record is from the annotation of a GenBank genome assembly.